CUUUGUUUGUCAUCGCAUCAUGUUUGUACACUCUAAACAUACAACGUUAUAACGUCACUCCGACAGUGCAACUGUGUUGGAAGUGUCUUUUGGGUCAGUGUGAUACAGCUGAUGCAGCACUGCUCUAGUAUGUAAUAUGAAGACUUGAUUGAGACACACUGAAUAAAGUCACAUACACAAGAGGUGGCAAUGAAACAUGUAAAUCUUAUUGAUGAGUAUUGCAAGACAUUGCAGCUGUGUUGGAAGUGUCUUUUGGGUCAGUGUGAUACAGCUGAUGCUGCACUGCUCUAGUAUGUAAUGUGAAGACUUGAUUGAGACACACUGAAUAGUGAGAAACUUACAACUAUUAUGCAGUUAACUAGGUGUGUUCUUGUUGAUGAAAUUAUGUUUUCGGCGUUAAAUUAAAUUAUUCUAGUAAUUGUUUUA
Long non-coding RNA from Corticium candelabrum, 426 nucleotides. RefSeq lists it as uncharacterized. Lineage: Eukaryota; Metazoa; Porifera; Homoscleromorpha; Homosclerophorida; Plakinidae. The transcript has 4 exons. The record is from RefSeq and is a predicted model, not a curated record.